This 253-nucleotide ribosomal RNA is filed under the name uncultured bacterium. RNAcentral describes it as "partial 16S ribosomal RNA". It matches the Rfam family "Bacterial small subunit ribosomal RNA", at positions 524 to 776 of the family's 1533-position model. The record is from RNAcentral.
UACGUAGGGGGCUAGCGUUGUCCGGAAUCAUUGGGCGUAAAGAGCGUGUAGGCGGCCCGGUAAGUCCGCUGUGAAAGUCGGGGGCUCAACCCUCGAAUGCCGGUGGAUACUGUCGGGCUAGAGUGCGGAAGAGGCGAGUGGAAUUCCAGGUGUAGCGGUGAAAUGCGUAGAUAUCUGGAGGAACACCGGUGGCGAAGGCGGCAUCCUGGACCGACACUGACGCUGAGGCGCGAAAGCUAGGGUAGCAAACGGG